This 770-nucleotide ribosomal RNA is filed under the name uncultured bacterium. RNAcentral's name for it is "partial 16S ribosomal RNA". The record is from RNAcentral.
CAACGUCUAACACACAUCGUUACGGCAUGGACUACGAGGUAUCUAAUCCUCUUCGCUACCCAUGCUUUCGUUCCUCAGUGUCAGUAAUGAUCCAGAAAGCUGCCUUCGCAAUUGGUAUUCUUUCUAAUAUCUACGAAUUUCACCUCUACACUAGAAAUUCUGCUUUCCUCUAUCAUACUCUAGCUGAAAAGUUUUGAUGGCAGUUCCAGAGUUAAGCUCUGGGAUUUCACCACCAACUUUUUCAACCACCUACGAACUCUUUAAGCCCAGUAAAUCCGAACUACGCUAGGUCCCUUCGUAUUACCGCGGCUGCUGGCACGAAGUUAGCCGGACCUUCUUAUUCGGGUACAGUCAUUUUCUUCCCCGACGAAAGAGCUUUACAACCCAAAGGCCUUCUUCACUCACGCGGCAUCGCUGCAUCAGAGUUUCCUCCAUUGUGCAAGAUUCCCCACUGCUGCCUCCCGUAGGAGUUUGGGCCGUGUCUCAGUCCCAAUGUGGCUGAUCAUCCUCUCAAAUCAGCUAUAGAUCACAGUCUUGGUAGGCCAUUACCCCACCAACAAACUAAUCUAGUGCAGGCUCAUCCAAUGGUGCAUAAAGCUUUCUCUGUAAAGACUUAUCCGGUAUUAGCACAAGUUUCCUCGUGUUAUUCCAGGCCAAAGGGUAGAUACCUACAUGUUACUCACCCGUCUGCCACUAAGUAUUGCUACUUCGUUCGACUUGCAUGUGUUAGGCGUGCCGCCAGCGUACGUUCUGAGCCAGGAUCAAACUCU